ACGCAGUUUCAUCUCCUUCCUGAUGCAUCCUGAGCCCCUCAGUGCCUAGCUCCUGCGUAAGCGCUGUAAACUGGACCAAGUGGAUUGAAAAUGGCCAGAAAUUGAUCUUGAUCACUUUAGAUAUUUUAUGACAAAGGAAAAAAAAAUCAUUUCUGUCGAGUUAAAAUCCAUUUGAGCCAGUUUAAGCUAUCUGUGUAGAGCUGGAGCCUGAGGUCGGCAAACUCAGGAAGAUGGCUGAAGACUAUGCUGACUCAAGCCCAGACAAGGAUCCAGGUUUCUCCGAUGGCAGAUUCACUUUUUUCUCGACUUCACCCUGGACCUGUGGUGACUGGAAGCCUUGAGAUGUGAUGAGAAAACCGAGGCUCAGAGAAGUCCCAUGACUUGUCCAAGGCCAUGAAGCUAGUUCACAGAAAGGCACAGAAUGAGCUCUGGAAGCACUUCAGAGAAUACCAUUUUGUGGCCUGGAGAGAUCAGCACCCUCACUACUAAGUGGCCUAAGAGCCAGCACCUUCAUGGAAUGGUGAAGAGGAAAGGCCAUUUGAGGACACAGUGAGAAGAUGAUGAUUAUCUACAAGCCAGGAAAAGAAGCCUCACCAGAAACCAAUCCUGACACACUGAGUUUGGGGUUUCAGCCUCUACAACUGUGAGAUAAUGAAUGUGUUGUUUACAGGACACUGUCUGUGAUAUCUUGUUAUGAUGGACCAAGGGGUCUAAUCUAACUAUUCCUUAAUAUUGGGAACACUACUUAGAAGCAAAUGAUCUUGGAAAAUGGUAAAGUCAUCUGUGUUUGCUAUUCCUAUCCCCCGCCCGCCCCCUGCCCUUUUCACCGUUGAGCCAUUUCAAACUGUGAUAGGUAAUUUACACUGUAUGCCUGGGACUCAUUGCUCUUUAGCGUUUAGCAUUUGAUUUCCAACAUCAUGGUUAAGGUCUGACAAAUCCUGUCCUGAUAAUACACAACAGAGAGUUACACAGAGAAAGGCUACAGUCCCAAAUUUCAGUCCACAGAGUAUUAUGAGCUUGGGUAGUGCUGAUGGAGCACUCUGACCAUUGGUUUAAAGACUAUUUUUACUAUUCUGUAGAGUGCAGUUUAGAACUGAGUUACAGAAUAGAGUAUAUCUCCUUAGUCUCUCCAUUUGGUCUCUCUUCCCUCACUAAUUCCAAAGUAUGCAAGCUAUAUGCUUUCUAGUUUUUUUUUCCCUUCACAGCCAUUAUCUAGGCACCAAAAACAGAGAUGGAAAGAGACGGGUUUAAUCCAAAGCACCAGUUUCCAUUACCUUAAGCUGCCUCAAUGAUUUUUCUGAUGGGGUGAAAUUUCUUGCACUUGGUCUCAGGCCCAAGGUAUAUGCAAUGCUUCAAUGAAAUUGCCUUCGACACCUUGAAGUGAGUGCCUGGGAACUAUGAGUUCGUCCAAUAGUAAAAGAGAAAAAGACUCAGAACUUCUUGUACAGGCACUGGACCAAAGAGGGGAUAGCUUUCAAAGGUUUCACUUGCUAUGGAGAUCUACUCUGAUAUUGAAAGUGUUCUGUUCGGUGAAAGACACAAAGACACAUACUCAUAGCCUAUGUCAGAAAGUGCAUAUUCCACAAGCUUCAUGUGAAACCCUCCACAUUUUGAUGCCGACUUCCCUUUCCUGUCUAAUCUCCUGUUACACCCCCCCACUUAAGUUGAGUUCCUUAUUUGUUUCUUUGCUGUUCAGUUGUUGACCACAUAGUAGGCCUUGGGGCUAGAAAGAUAAUGCUUAUCUACAGGCCCUUCUUCCACAUACCCAGGAGCUCAUAGGCUCAGAGGGGAACCUUUAAAGUAUCUCGUAUGGUUAAUGGCAUUGCAGAAGCUUGCUUUGCAUAGAGAAGUCACACAUGAUGGAAUUCCAUUUAUAACAGCCUCAUAGAAUGAUAAGGGCCAUGGAGCAGGCUUCUGCCACAUACAAUACUAAGUCCUAUGUCGGAGCUCUCUUGCGUGGGAUUUGAGCAAUUCACUUCUUGGAACAUAUGCAGAUAUAAUACGACUUUUCUGCUUCACCAUAGGGAAGAGUUUAGCAAACUCAAGGAGUAAGAUACAAUCAUCAGUGAAUUUUUCUCUCAGCAGUAACUCUUUGUCCCUGGGCAAGAUGUUUGGUUCUCAUGUCAACAUUCGGAAAGGUGUGGAAAGUGCUGACAGUCCAGCACACACGCAUGCAAAGGGCAUACCUUUAACCAUCUGGGAAUAACAGGUGCCCAAGUUCUACCCAUUUCUCUUGAUGUCCCAGUUGACAGGAAGAAACUUGGUGUAAUGGAGAUGUGGUUGUUCCAGAUGAGGAAAGAGAAAGGCAUUGAGGAAAUGUGUGCCAAGGGCUGCUGCAUAUCAAGGGGACUUGAGAUGGCAGCUAUUUAGGCUUUGGCACUGUGCCUUGUUGGUAGUGAGCCCUGUUCCUCCAGGGAUUUUCAAAGCAAAGGUUAGGGAUGAGAUGUAAAGAUUAAUCAGAAAGGCUGCUCCCCAAAUGGAGGCUUGGUGUUCAGAAAAGAAUGUUUGUAAGGUCAAUAUAAGACACCUAGAUUUUAGUCCUAGAUCUGCCCUUGACUUGUGGUCUGACCUUGGGCAAGCCAUUUCUUAGUUUUGGAUCUCAGUUUAUUUGUACCUUAAAAAGUUUGUUUGGAGGCCAGAUGUAGUGGUGCAUACCUUUAAUCCCAGCAUUCAGGAGACAGAGACAGGUGGAUCUCUCUGAGUUGAGGCUAGACUAUAUAGUAAGUUUCAGGUCGGCCAGGGAUACAUAGUGAAACUCUGUCUCAAAAAAAUUCGAGUGGUUUUAGGCUGGGGAUGUUGCCCAGUUGGUAGAGUAGUUUCCUAGCAUGUACAAAGCUCUAUGUUCUAUCACCAAUACCACAUAAACAAAGCAUGAUGGUACAUGUCUGUCUAUAAUCCUAGCUCUUGGGGGGUAGAGGCAAGAGAAUCAGAAGUUCAAGGUCACCAUCAGCUACAUUUUCAGUUUGGGGACAGCCUGAGAUAUAUGAGAUACUGUCUCAGAAACAAACAGACAGAGUUCAGUUUAUCUCUGAGGUGUCUUCUCAUACUGACCUUCAGUAUUUUUGGUCCCUCGGGUUCUCUAGAGAAGGAGCAAAUGCCAAGACAAUUAAAUCUAGACUGGAAGUUACAGAAUAUGAAAAGAAUAAAAGAAAAAACUUUAAAGCACAAAACCACAAAAUACAUCAUGUUAUUGGUAUUCUACUCCGUGCAUUUCCCACGAUAAGUAUUUGUCCUGUUGUUCCCGGGGAACAAUUGAAAUGUCUUGGGAAAUGCAAUUUUCAUUGUUUUAGUUGUAUCUCCUAAAUUGCCUCAUUCAACCAGGGAAGAUUUCAGCAAGUUUUUCAACAAGAACCAGUGUCGAAUUUUUGUUUCAGAAAAUAUGGUCACCAUAACUCUGUAGCACUCACCUUAUCUUCUUUUCUAGGUUUUUCUCAUACAUAACAAGUUUUCCAUCUGUGUAAGUAAUGUCCAAGGAAAUGGAAACUGAUUAAUAUAAUCUGUUGGGAUCAUUUGUUACUCACAUGUUACAUGUGUUUGGAAAUGUAAAGAGUCAUUCUUCAAUACAGAUAUUACAUGUAUUGUGAUUGCUUACAAUAGAUGAAGAGACCAGUUAGGUUCUCCUCCUGUAGCAUUCUGGAGAUAGAGGGCAGAAGAAACUGGGCAUCAGGGGAAUUUAGCAGUAGAAGCGGGAAGGCAGAAGUUUCAGAUAUCCAAGUUUGCAGCCUCUGCUGAUAGUGACUGGGAACCAGCAGAUUUGGAUUUAGGUAAAGGAACAUGUAAGCUAUGCCUGCCUGGACGUCUGUCUCCAGCCUUGACCUUUCUUCUGGGUCAGAGAAGAAUUUUAAAAUGUUCUAGUUCUCAGGCUGGCACCCUUAGCGUAUUUCUCCUCUCCCCAAGACCAGUUCUUCUCACUGUUCCUGCUACUGGCACUACUUCACCUUACCAAUCACUGACAAUGAUAAAAAUGGCGUUUACAUUUUUCCAUUACCCUGAUAAAUCUAGUUGGUUGCUAAGUUGUGGUACUUUUCCUUCACAGUUUCAUCUCCCAACAGGCAACCUCUUCCACAUUUCACUACAGCAUCCUUUAUUAGGCCCUCAUGACUUCUCAUCGAACAUGUGUGACUCAUUCUUACCCGGUUCAUUCUCUCUAAACCUUAUCUACUCAAUCAAUCAGGAUACAAACACACAUAUAACCUUUAGCCUUCUUUCUUCCCAAUUGUUAGGCUAAGUGUAUGGAGAGGUGAUUUUCAGUGGUGCAUAUGCAUUUUGCAUUGAAGAAAGGAAAGAAGGGAUUGUUUUCUCAAGACUAUUUGGAGGCAAUUUCAGUAGUCCAUAGCGGCGUAAGGAAAUACUUGCUCCUAGUUAAGAAUUAUAUUUUAUCUUGAAGCACUUUCACUGUCUGCUGUGCCUCUGAACUUGAAUGUUCAAGCAGGCCUGACACCUGUAGUUCUCCCUGCCCACAACACACUGGUAUUCUUCAUUUCUUUCUGUGGACACUUAGAACUGCUGAAUGCUUUUGUGUUGCUUUUUACCCCCCAGCCUCAUCUGAUCUUUCUCACAGAUGUCGGGGAUUCAGGGAUUCCCCAUAGGUUUGAGUGUCUCCUCCCUCAUUACUGGCCUUGGCCUCUUCCCACAGCCAUGUUUCCAUCACUCACAUGGACUUGGCCACGUGGCAGCUUUGCUGAUGGGCUCUUCAGCCAUCUCCCACAAACCCAGGCCAAGAGGUGACAUUCAAUCUAUCCUCAGUGUAUACCUCCAUCCUGCCAAAGCUGUAAAACUGUCUGGGAUUGUAGUCCCUUCCAGUUAUGUGCAUGAGGAGGUGCUUUCCAAAGACAUUGAUCAAUUCCCUAAAGAUCCCAUGGCACAGCAGGUAGAGCUCCUGUGGUUUGCCGCAAGAAAGCCAGACCAUAGCAACAAGUGCCUCAGGCUCAGCACUCUGAAACCCUCUCGAAUCACAGGGCUCGAGAAGACCACUGGGUCGUUUGGAACUUGUCCCAAACACAAUUAAAUAUCCAAGCAAAGGGGGAAAGAAUUUUUGGAAUACAAAUGGCCUAGCUCAGUGGGGUUGAUGGGGUGACCCAUCCAACCGGCGCUCCCAUUCCAGUCACCACAGAUCUACCAUCUCCUCAGUGGGCCUGCUGGAGUCAGCCUUGUCUGCAUCCAGGGGCAGCUCUAGUCGGCUUGCCCAGUAUCCCAGGCAUGUGCAACACUUCCACCUAACUCAAACCACAUGCAGAAGAUCAUGUCAUACUUGGCGCAUAACCAAUCGAGAAAGGCAUCAGAGGGUGUCCAGACCUCAGCUUGUUUGAACAAAUGUUCAAAAAACAUUUCUGAAGGGAUAUUCCAGAAAAACAUACUCACUCAAGGUCUUAAAAACAGAUGUUCAGGCUCUAAGAUUGGGUUGCUUUGCAGCUACUAUUAUCAAAUACAGUUAAGUAGGACCAAAUCAUUUUAGGCUUGAACGAGGGUAUAUGUUUAGCUUUCUUUUGUAUCUUUAUUUUUGGCCAUGGGAGGAUGUGUCAGAGGGCAGAACAUAAUGCCUAGAGGCAGCAUGCUGUUGUGAUUCACUCUCUGGCACUGGAGUCAGGCAGGCAAAGGCUUUGACCCCUGACUAGCUUGGUGUAUUAACCUAUCAUAGACUCACAUUGUUUAGCUACAAAACUAAUGGCAAUGUUGCUGACUCAUUACUUUUGUCAGGAGAACUAAAAAAAUACUACAUAUAUACGUAUGUGUACAUAUAUAGUGUAUACCAUGGAUUAAGCACUCAGCCAGUCCAGCACUGUUAUCAACACUAUAACCAGCAGAGCUUUACUAUUUACUAUUACUACUUUUAUACUAGUAGCACUGCUACUGCUGCUGCUGCUGUCUCUAGGACAGGAUCUAUUCCCAAAUUAGAUGGGGAGUUGAAGAGGGCCUCGGCUUCGUUUUUUCUAGUCUAUGGAGUAGGUAAGCAUACCAAGGAAGAAGACCGCAGGACUUCUAGUUUGAAAGGACGGGAAAGAGAGCAGUGCACAGAUCUUGUAGUUUAUUUUCAUUAUCUCAGACCAAAGCUCUUCCAUCCUUCAUUAGUUUGCUAUGUAACCUAUCUCGAGCCACUUUCGGUAAUGAUGUUUCACUAGUUACCCUUGAACAUGAAACCUUGUGGCACUUGUUUGCAGGUAAGCUGACCUAUGUCAGAGGCCUCGUCUAUGACUGGUAUGUGUAUGAGCAACUGGUCCAAAAGAGGCAAGGUACUAACUUCUUUUAAUGGCUCUAAGCUACCUAGCUCACAAUCCAGAUGUAUGCUAUAGCCACCACCAGAAUCUUUGUUAGCUACUGGCAAACAGUGGUAUGCUGGGCUCACUGCUAAAAGGAAAACUUUCCAUAUAGCCAUCAUUUGUACUUCACUUUUCCAUUAAUACUUGCUGUGCCAUGACAGCUAUUUUAUUUUACUUCUAUGCUUGGGAUAUGAUCCCAGGGACUAGUAUAGGCUAGGCAAGUGCUCUAUCUAUCACUGAGCUACAUCUCAAGAUGGAUCCAUAACUCUUUAAGAAGUUUAUCCAUCUAUUCAUACAUCCAUCAACACCUCCCCCCACAUCCAUCCACCUGCCAUUCAACAGGUAUUUAUUGAGCAAUAACAACAUCCAAAACAUGGUUGUAGGUGCUAACAAUAAGUCAGUGAACUGCUGUUAUGAAGCUUACAGUCUAGCUGCUUGGUCUAGCCAAACACAGUAUACCAUGAAAGUUCAUUGGAAAAGUUUAGUCUAGACUUUUGGAACAAAUUUUAGUCAGUCCUUCUCAACUGGACAAGUCUUUUAGGGUGCUUGAGUGGAGAGUGAGGGACUGUCUUGCAUCCAGCCUGAGCAAAGGUUCUGAGGGUGGCAGGGGACAGGGCUUUAGAUACAAAGUGGCUGCAUUUUGAUUUCUAAGAUUAAUCUGGUUGAUACAAAUUGUGUACUUACUAUGUUGAACGGCUAAGUUCUGAAAUGUGAUAAGAAUACAAUGUGGCUUUGUUAUCGUCUCAUUCAUAAACUGGCUCAGAAGGCAGUUCUCAAAGCAGCGUUUCAAAAAUAUUCUGAACAAUGGCAAUAUCAGAACAUAUUCUUAGGGGGACUGCUUUAGACAAUUCAGUACAUAUCUGAUUGUACAAAUCCUGCUCUAUUAAAAAGAAACAUUGCUAGUAGCUAAUUUAUUAAAAAAACAGUGAAAAGAAAGAAAUGUAGACUUAAAUUUUUAAUUCAAUUAUUGAAAUAUUUAUGCAUUAUAUGUUUGGAUUUAUGACUGCCAUACAAUUAAUUCACUUUAAAAAUAAUGCAAGGAAUUUUUCUUUGCACUUAGGUUUUUUCCAGUCAGUUCAUGCAUAGUCUUCUGCAUGGGAGUCUUUGAAGCAAACAGCACAGGUGUUUAGCCAUUGUCUCUUUUUUAUGUAAAAGUCAAUCUUCCCAUUACAUGGCAGGCCUGCAGAAAUGCCUUCUGCUUUGAAGCCAGUGAGUGUAUGACCAAGUUAACUGGUAUUUUUGUUUUUCAGCGGAAUGUUAAAUCAGGAAUUGUAAACAAUUCCUAGGCAAUGUGUAUAAUGUUCGUAAGUCAUUCCUAGAAAUUGUUCACAAUGCCUGUAACAUAUAUGCAGCUAGCAAGAUUUCUGAAGUACAUAGGAAGCCUUCAAGAAGCUAAUUGUCCAUUUGUAGGACAACUCUGGAUCAUGACAUUUCUUGUAAUCAAUUCUACUUAUUUAUCUGUUAAUUUGUCUAGAUGUUAAUAAUUCUGAUAAUAGUAGUACUACUUGAUUUCCAUAGCUCCAAAGGAUUUCUGCAAUUUUUGCCAGUAAUUUGGUGAUACAAGGUUUUGGACAUGCUUAUUUUACAAGGCAUUAGGAAAAAAAACAAUAAUUAGGAAUAAAGGCAAUUGUACUUGUCAGGUGAGCCAAGGUCCUGUCUAAACGUUCUUAUUUUUUCACAAAAGCUUUAGGCAAAGCUUCCUUGCCUUUCCCAUAGCUUACUUUCAGCCACUUUUUUAUACUCUAAUUCCCUUGGGCUUUCCUAAGUCAUGCUAAAGAAACUUAAUCAUUUCUACCAGUCUUACUCUGUCAUGAGAUUUUCUUGCCUUUUCCUGUUCACUUAUCUGCUAAUGGAACUUGAUAUUCACAUAAUGUAAUUGCUUAAUCUAUGUACUUGAUUCCUAUUUGUAUUUACUAUUUUGAAAUGAUCUGCCUAUUGGUUUAUAUCAGCAUUGCUGUGGGUUAUAUCUAUGUAACUACUCUAAAUCAAUUUUGAGAUGAAAGCAAAAUGUUGAAUGAGUUUUGGCCUUGAGUGUGAUGAUCAUAUCAAGUCACUGGUUGGGAUUCUUUGCAUGUUUACAGUUAAGUGAAUUUACUUGACUUCUGAUUGACUAGUGGAAAGGGACUAUCCUAGGAGCCCAUUCAGAUGAAGCCAGGGAAUGAGCUGGCUAUGUGGGAUGUGGGACUAAGAGAUUGGGCAAAGCCUUUUGACAAUUGAUCUCAGCAUCUAGUUCUGGUGCCAAGUAACUAGCAGAUGUCAUAAGAUGCAGCUGAGCAAUAUUUUAUAGUCAUACAAAUGGCCCUUUAAUUUGCUUAGAUGAUGACCCUCACCCCAAAUCCCAUCCCUACUGUAUCCAGAUAUGACCCAUCUCCCAAGGCCAAACUUAACUUCUGUUAAAUCCUGCCUAGUUGUAUUGGUCCUCUCUGGUGUAUCUUCUUUGAAUGCCUCUAGACCUUUAAGGACAUUUUGUCUCUGAAACUGAACUGCACUGAUAUAAUUAUGUACUGUGCAUUUUUCAUGGAUGCCUUACACUUAUGGUGACCAUAUUUUCCAACCAAAAAUUAGAACAUCUGAAAAUUGAGGUGAGUAUUUGAAAUGAGCAGUCCUCUGGCAAACAUAUGCUUAUUCCCUUCUGUGUCUCUGACCUGUUGAACAGUCAGCAUUGACUAUGACAACAGGAAGGCAAAGACAGACAGAAGGUAACAUCUACCAAGUGGCAAGUAAAGGACACAUAUUUUUGGAGUGUCUAGUAUAGGCAGGUAUAGCUUAAGAGCUUUGUUAUUAUGCCUUAGGAAUAAUGCAUUGGUCCUGAAAAUAAAAGCAAUGUAAGAAAAGAAGAGGGACAACAAAAGUGCCAAUACUGAGACACUGUAGAAGGGUUGUAUCAUACAACCCAGCAGGUAAGAGAGGUCUCUAAAGAGGAGGCCUUGUGCUCAGAAAGACAAAUAGAGAAGUUUUUCACUGAAGUUCUUAAACAUAUGAUUAGACAGAUUUUUUUAAACCAAAUUCUGGGAGGCUUUGCAUAAUACAAUUAUAAAUAAAUUUAGGGAAAUUAUAACAAUGGUGAAGAAAUAGCACUUAAUUGGGCUAGGUGUUACAAGCUGAGAAUGCAGCUUGGAAAGAGUGUAGCUUCAUUUAGGGCUAGUUAGUAAGUUCUGGUCCUGACUCAUUAAUAGAGGUUAGCAAAUUAAUCUUUUCUUGGGAAAACAAGCAUCUAAAGUUACCCACAUCAAACUUCUUGACUCAUUUGGAGCAUCUAUGUGUAGACUCCUCCAUGCUCCAUUCUGUGGGACAUCAAGAGAGAGACUGACUGGAAUUAGUAGAGCCAAGGGCUUUUGAGUAUGCAACUUUUACGGAUUAGUGUGGUUUCUUCCUGUUGUGAGCCCAUGGCAGACAGAGCGAAGAGUGCUACUUACUACUUUUUGCCCUGGGAAGCCUUAAGGGGGCACUGACUAUUGACUUGAUACUGCUUUUCCUCUAAAGUACCUAUCUUUUUCUGCCUCAUCUUCAUUUUUAUUCUCUUCCAUUUUAUGUCUAGCUGAGACUGAAUUAAAGAACAGGACAUAAGUUAGUGGGUAAAACUCAAUUGCCAUUGUUAGUUCUGGCCAUGAGAGUUUCUCUCAUCCAAGUCCUAACCAGGACCACCCUGCUUAGCUUCCAAGGCCAAGAUCAACUGUAUUCAGGUAGUAUGUUUCUUAGUUCUCCCAGGUAGACUUGGCUGUAACUCUGUGUACCUGUUAUCUUGGUUUUUUAAGUCUGGGAUUCCACUUUGCAUUGGUUCUAUUGUUUGUGAAGUAUGGUAUCUAGCAGUAGACAAUUGAUAUCAAGUAUCAUCUUUCCUUGUCUUUCUCUCUCUCUCCCUCCCUUCUUCUCUCUAUUUUCUUUUGAGACAGAUCUUAUAUGUAUUAGGCAGGCCUCAAACUCCCUGGGCACCCAAGGCUGACUGUGUACUCCUGAUCUUUCUGCCAAUGCUGGGAUUAUAGGAGAUGCUCCCAUGCCCAGCAUACAUGUGGUCUUAACGGUUUAGAACAGAAUAUAAAUACUGGAUCACUUAUGAGCAUUAUGCUUUUGUUCGUACAACCUAACUUUACAUUUGCAUCUUGAAGACUUCAUGUUUCAACUUGAACUCACAAUGAAAGACCUUGAACUCUUAGUCUUCACAUUUUCUGGUGUUGCAGACUAAAGCUUCCUGGUCCCAUCUUUGCACUCGUUAAACGACAUGUGAGGAUUGAUAUAUAGAACAAGCAUUUUGGAAUUGCAUAGAAGUAUUUGAGGAAAAAAUUAGCUCCCAGUACAAAGCCAUUUCUUGGGCUGUCUGACAAGCAAACAAUUGAUGGAAUUUUUUUUAGUCUUUGGCAUUUUUUCCUACUUGCCACACCUCAUUUCCUAAUUUGAACCUUCAAAUGCAUUCUGUUUUUGCCCUGAUGAUAGCGGCUGAAAUCUUCUGCCUCCUGUCUCUCUAUACCUCCCUGCUAUGAGCCUUAGGUUUUUUCCCUCUUGAACGCAUUCAAAACCAUGAAAUAGUUUAUUGUUAUUCCUUUUCUCCCUGAAAAGAAAAGGUAGCUAUGCCAGAUAGUGCCAGACAGAUGGGAACGUUAGUUCCAGGGUAUGGGUAGAUUACGUACAGGGUUAGUAAGGAUAAGCAUGUUGGAGUUACCCACUCUCAGGCUUUUACCAGAGGCUCAUCCCAUCUGAUGGCUCCUCAGGAGGGUAAGUCACAAGGAAUUACUGUAGCAUGGAUGAGUGUUACUGAACUCCUAAUCAAAGUCCAGCUGGGAAGAGCAGCUGAAGAGAACUGGUCUUUGCUGGCAUCCAAGAAAAAUAUGGAUUUGGCCAGGUAAAGAACUUCUUGGCUAUGAUGGAAUGAGUCAGGGUUAACAAAACCUUAUACAAGGUUUUACCAAUAGGCUAGCACUGUACAUGUGUCAGGCCUAUUCUCUUCUAGUGUUCUCUGCCUGGCAGGCAAGGCAAGGCAAGAUAAACACCUGAAUCUUUUGAGAUAGAUGGCUAAGUUCUGACAUGACAUCUCUCAUACAAUAUAUCCAAUGAAUCAGAUUCUCUCUGCAAUUACUUCAAGGUAUUAUUGCUUGGGAGAAAGACAAAAGAGUUACAUAGUCUGUUCUUCAUCUCUUUCUUCUUGGAACAGCCAUAUACCUUGUGUUCAUGCUGUCCACCCUAUUUCAUCUAUUCCUCCAACACUUAGGCUUACCCCUGUGCAGAGGGUAGAUCUGAACGAUGUGUUCUUGCAGAAUAACAUCUUUCCCAGAAACCUUAUCGCAGAAGCCAUUGGCCAGGUAGCCCGCCUCUGUUCUGUUUGCUGGAAGAGCUGCUUAGGUUUCCAGUAUUACUAUCCACUGGAGACUGGGCAGGACUGGGAAGCAGCUUUCCCUAGCAGAAGAAUUGCAUUAGGAAACACUUUGCUUGGAAGUUAAGGUGAGAAAUCAUCAGGCCAGAAAAGGGUAUGUUCUUAGGAUCCAGAACAACUAUAAAGUCACUUUUCCCCCAAGGUACAUUGCAUUAUUUCUUGGACUGUUGUAUUGUGGGGGUGGCAGUAAGAGUGGGGGUGGAGCUAGGAUGAGUAACGGUUUUGGAACAUAAAGUCCUACAGUUUUUCCAUUUUCUGUCUACCUGAGAUGGAAUUAAAGAGACCUAAAAUAAGAUAAAAUAAAACUACUUCAAGAAGCUCCCCCAGAACAUCAUUUUUAAUUCUAUUAUCUUUUAAAAGAAUCUAAUAAGAGUGUGAGUUUAAUCUCUUCCUUGUGAAAACUCAGGUUUUCCCUGCUUCACAGGAUGGGAUAAGUUCCAUGAGCUUAAGGGGAAAUACAGAGCACUUAUCUCCUUUCUUUCCUUCCUCUUAACUUCUCCCUUGCUGUUCACUCUAUGUAAAGACAUCUUGGGAAUAUGGCUAAUAGUCUUAAAAGAAUGUAGAAGCCACGGAACGAAGGAUCUUAAGGGAGGGGGAUUGGAAGAGAGCAUAAUGGAAUACAUGUGAUUUUAAAAAAUCAGAAUAGGCAAACCAUGUGGGAAAAUUAAGAGAAUCAAUCAGAGUGGGUAGGGAACAAGGGGGUACGGAAGAUGGAGAGGGGAAUGAGUAAGAACAAAGCAUAAUGACACAUAAGAAAAUGCCAUAAUGAAGCCCAUUACUUUAUAUGCUAAGUUAAAAUUUAAUUUUCAAAGAAUGGAAAUAUUGACAACAGAGUGUGUGAGUUCAAAUAUUAGCUCAGAAACUUCUGAUAAUGAAUAACCUAUUUAAUUUUCUUAUACCUUAAUUUCCUUUAUUGGAGAGAUAAUAAGACCUACAUUUUGGAGUUACUGGGUUAAUUAAAAAUGUGUCUUCUCCCCCUUCAUAGAUAGACAUAUACAUGGGAUCAGUGCUUGGAUGCUCUGUUCUUCUUAGGACUGAUUUUAGUCAUUCAAGUUGGGCACAAUUCUGAGGGAGAAGAAAUCGAUAAUGUGGUUUCUUGCAGCCCCUUUCAAAUGAAGAACUCUGGGUCUUUUAGAAAAAUCCAGGUUGGUACUGACAAGAUGGUUCAGGUGGGUAAAAGUGCUUGAUACUAAGCCUGAUGACCUGAAUUCAAUUCUUAGGACCCAUAGGGUAGAAGAAAAGAUCCAACUGCCGCAUGAUGUCCACUAAAUGCCACACGUGUCCCUUCCACAAAUAAAUAAGUAAAAUGAAAUGAUUUUUUUAAUUAGAAAAAUUUAGGUUUUACUUCUAGAUAUGUAUUUAAGAAGAAUUAUUCAGGGCCGAGGAUAUAUAACUCUGUGCUAGAACACUUGCCGGGUAUUCACAAGGCCCUCAAUACCCACCCCCCCCCCCCAUACAACAGAGAGAGAGAGAGAGAGAGAGAGAGAGAGAGAGAGAGAGAGAGAGAGAGAGAGAGAGAGAAGAAAGGAGGAAAUGAAAAAAGUAAAGAAUUGCUCACUAGUGAUUUCUCUUGAAUACCUAAAAUAGUUCCACAUCUAGUUUAGGGUAUGCGACCCAGCACGUUUUCAUUGUGUGUUUCUUGAAAUGAAGAAUGAAUGAAUUACAGAACUUCAUAUAUUACAGAUUCUAUUAGUUACAAGAGCUUUAAAAAUAUCUUGAGGCUAAGUGUAUUCUCAUAACAGUGGGGGAGGAUGGUGGGACACAUACCAUGUGGUGGAGAGAAAGAGAGCUCAACUAGAGGAAAAGAAUGGGUUUCAAUUUCAACUUUGCUAUGUACCACUUAGAUAUAGGUCAGCUAGUCACUGCAUCUCUUAGGUCCUCAUCAAUUUAUUCAGUAAGGUCAGGAUAAUAGUACUUUUGAUACUUCUUUCUACAACAGUGAACCUUGUUCUUAUUGGUAGUCCACAUAACCCAUUUUUAUAGAGGAGUUCUCAGGCGAGUUAAAGGCUGUAAAGCAUCUGGAGGGUCAUGAAAGGUAGCUUAGACCCUUUUAUCCUGACCUGUAGCUUCAGGCAAUUGUUAUUAAUCAUCAUAAUCUGAAUAAGUGAAUUAAAUUAUUAGGGCCACAUUCAGACAGGCCUGGUGUUCUAGUUUCAUUUUUGCUUCUGUGAUAACCUGACCAAAAGCAACUCUGGGGAGAGAGGCUUACUUGGCUUACAAUUCCAGGUCCAUUCUUUCCAGGAAGUCAAGGCAGGAACUCAAGCAGUCAGCUUCAUCAUAUCCACAGUCAAAUAGAGAGUAAUUCGGCAAGACACUGUCUCAAGAUACAAUUCUUAUAACAGUUAGACUACUACUCAGUGGUAGAGCACUUGCCUAGUGUAUGUAUGCAAAGACAUGCCUGGAUUUGAUCCCCAGCACAAACCUCCUGAGUUAUAAAUCCAUGAAUCCAUACAAUUAAAUGUUCUUUAGGACAGAGCAGAGGAAAGUAGUAGACUGUAGAAACAUGAAAUGGGUGACAGUCCAAACAACUCCAAUACACCAUGCAAGGAUGACUUCAUACUAUCCGAGGUUUGAGAAGUUAUUUUCUUGGGUUUGAGAGUCUGCCCUAUAGACCCACUGGGUGAGAGAAGCCUAACCUAUGAGAACGAAGUGGUAGCUCAGCUCUCGGAAGCUGAGACAGGCUUGGCCCAUGGACCUGUGGCCUGUGGCCUUUGGAGAGAUUAUUGGAACUACUAAUCUCUUAUUUGACUUUGACUCAUUCUUCCCCAUUUUUAUUUAAUUUUAUUUUGAGACAGGGUCUCACAGUGUAGACCACAUGGCCUAAAACUCAAUAUAUAAACCAGGUUGGCUUUGAACUUAUAGAGAUCCAUCUGUCUCUGUCUCCCAGGUGCUGGGAGUGAAGGUGUGCACCCCAUAUUUUGAAGAAUGUUCCAUAUUUGCAGUUCAAUAGUUGUGUCCUUUAAGCCGGGAAUUUAAAAGUCUAAUAGUUAAAAAGUCUAAUAGCUUUCCUUCAUUUUAUAUGGUCUCUGUUUCUUUUAAUCCAAACUAGCAGUAUUUCUGUUGUAUAAUCCAUAAUUUCUUCAUCAAGUAAUAGACUUUGAUAUUGUUUCUGGUUUUCCCUCUCUCAGAAGCUAUUAAUUGCCUGUAGCUCUUUGGCUAGGGAUGGAGGCUUGUGAAAUUUCCCACAUCCAGGUUGGCAGGACAGGGGGUAUAGACAUGAUGGAGGUCUUGUGCAGACAAACAUACUGUUUAGAUUUCAUGGGUAUAUUAUCCCUGUCAGAAAUAAAAGAUAUUAUUUAGCAGCAGCAUCCUUUAAUACAGCUGAGGAGGUAAGGCACUCACAGGUCUCCGCUUGUAUAUCUGGUAGAUGACCCCAGCUAGGCCUAACCUAAGAGCAUAGGUCAAUGAGGGAGGAUAAAGAUCCAGAACACUCAAAAGCUGAGCUGGUUUACAGUCUGCAUGACCCGAGACUCUCUGGGAGUCCCAAUAGAGUAGGGUGACUGUAACAUGUUGGGCCUGCCCUGCAUGGGCUGUUGCACAGGCAUUGGACGCCACAUAGACACAAAGUAUGUAUGGGCAGACUUGCAGAUGGCAAGAGACCUGGGCAGAACCCACGAAGAGCUGGCAUGCAGACUACGAGAUUCCAGCAAGGCCUAGGAGUGUCAUGAAAUGGGUGGGUCCUGUGGUUAUUGGCCCCUGUCAGGACUGUAUUGGGGUGCAGACUACAUCAACCAGGGUUCUGUGUCAAAGAGGACGAGAAAUCACGGGAUCUGGGACUCUCCCCUCACUGGAUGCUGUGAAACCAACAGAGACCUUGUCUUAUCACACUGGUUCUCAUCCUGUGGAUAGAGACCCACCAGGGACCCUCUGAAUCACAGAUCUUUCCCUGGCGAUUCAGAAGAGUAACAAAAUUACAGUUACAAGGUCCCAACAACAAUAAUUUCAUGCUUGUUGGUCACCACGACAGGACCACCUGUCUUAAAGGGUCACAGUAGCAGGAAGGUUGAUACCCAGUGACUUGUGGUUUCAAAGAAGGUGGCAUAGAGUCUGGUCACUCUCCAUGAUUGGAAUGGGUAAGGCGCUAUGAUCACAGCAGGGCUCUCUGUCCUGGGAGAGUGGGGACAAGGGUGGCGGUUGAUAUUCUUGUCACUCAGGAGGCUUUGGUGUUGCACAGACUACUGGACCCUCUACGGGUUUCCGUAGUGACAUAGAUGUCAUGGGUGAAUGGAAGGCUACAGGUCGGCCAUCUCCCAGGAUGGUCUGACUGUGAGCCAUAGGAUCCCAGCUGAUUCUGAAUGAUGAAAUGUUGGGGGAAAUUGGGGACUAAGAGCCCCAGCUAAUUGGUCAGGUUCACAAAACUGUGCAACACCAGCUGGGACAGUGAGUGGUGGACAGGGCCAAGGAGGGAGGAUCUGGGUCUCACUCUAUUCUGGAUUGGGGAAAUAGUUGUGGGGCCCAGCAGAGCCUGGGAUGGGGAACUCUAGGAGCAUGACAGAACCCAGGCCUCAAAGCUGACUGGCCCAAUGAACACGGUGUGAUGGCCAGCAAGGCCCUGCCUUGUGGUGGUGGCCUGCAAAUGUGUGUCUUGGUCUCACCUGAUUGGACUGGCACACAGAACCUGUGUCCUCAGCUAGGCUGAGCACUGUGUAGUUAGGCAAAGUCCUAUGUAGGACUAGAGCCCAAACCUAGCUGGUCUAGUACACCACGUGUGCAUACCCAUCUAGACUUGAAGAAUGAGAACAUGGCCUGUGAAGGCAGGUCUGGGCUCCUCACUUUGCUGGAAUGGAUCACAGGCUAUGGCAGAUCAGUGAGGCCUGGGACUAUGUGAUUGCAUGAGAUUAAAGGAGCUGAGGCACUCACAUGUCUCUGCUUGGCUACCUGGGGGGAUGGCCCAGCUUGGCCUAUGAGCAUGCAGCAGUGUGAGAGGAUAAAGUUCUAGAACACUCCAUGGUUGGGCUGGUGAGCAGUCUGGAUGAACCCAGCACUUUCUGAGGAUCUGGAUAGAGUAGUAUGACUGCUUCAUGUUAGUCAGUCACCAGGACAGGUUUUUUUUUUUUUUUUUACACGGGCAUUUUGAUGCCACAUAUGAAGUAUGAGCAGAGUGUAAGUAGGGAAGGGACCGGACCAGAAUCCAUGAGGUUCUGGCAUGCAGACCACAAGAUGCCAGCUAGGCCUAGGAGUGUAGCAAAAUUGGGGAAUGGUGGAGUCACUGGUCCCUCUCUGGACUGUUCGGGAGUGUAGCCUACCUCAAGUAGGCCUCUGUUUCAAAGAGGCCAAGGACUGGGGGGAUGGGGGACACUCACCAGGCUCAGUGCUGUGAAGUCCAACAGAGACCUUGUCUUAUGGCAGCGGUCCUCAACCUGUGGGUAGCGACCCUAACAGAGACCAUCUGAAACAAAGUUAUUCGGGUGACGAUUCAUAACUGUAGCAAAAUUACAGUAAGGACGUCCCAAGCAAGUUUAUUUAUGGUUGAUGGUCAGCACAACCUGAGGAGCUGUAUUAAAAGGUGGCAGCAAGAAGAGUGUGGAAACCCACUGCCUUAUGGUAUUAAGGAAGGUGGGUUAGAGUCUGGCCGGUCUCUGGGAUUGAAAGGUGUAAGGCCAUAAGCCCACGGCAAGGUCUCUGUCCUGGGUGAGUGGGGACAAUGGUGGUGGGUGAUUAUCUGGGUCACUCAGUAGGCUUUGGUGUUGCACAGGCUGGUGUACUCUACAGAGGCAUCCAUAGAGGAUGUGCAUGACAUGGGUGAGUGGAAAACUGCAGACCACCUCCCAGUAUGGUCUGACUGUGAGCACUAGGAUGCCAGCUGAUUCUGAAUGAUCAAAUUGGGGGAAAUUGGAGACAGAGAGACCCAACUAACUAGUAGGUCCCCAGAUCAGUGCAACACCAGCUGGGCCACAGAGUGACGGACAGGGCCACAGAAGGUGUAUCUGGGUCCCCCUCUGUACUGAGCUGGGGAAAUAUAUAAUUGAGGGACCCAGCUAGGCCUGGGAAGGAGGGAUCGCAUGAACAUGACGGGACCCGGGCCUCAAAGCUUGGUGGCCUGAUGCACAAGUUGUGAUAGCCAAGCAAGGCCCCGCAGGUUGGUGGUGGUGGCCUGCAGAUGUGUGUCUUGCUCUCACCUGGAUGGACUGGCACACAGAACCUGUGUCCCCAACUCUUCUAUGCACUGUGCAGUAAGAGGCAUGCAUGUGUGGGACUAGAGCUCUCCCCUUGCUGGUCCAGAGCACGAAGUGUGCAUAUCCAUCUAGACCUGGGAGAAUGGGAUCAUGGCCUGUGAGGAGCUCUGGUUCCUCACUUUGCGAGAAUGGGCCAAAGUGUAUGGAGAAGUGGUGAGGCCUGGGAUAAUGGGAUUGUAUGAGGGGCUGAGAAACUGAGGCUCUCCCAGGUCUCGACUUGUUUACCUGGUGGAUGAGCACAGCUAGGCCUAACCUAAGAACAUGGGUCAAUGAGGGAGGAUAAAGAUCCAGAACACUCAAAAGCUGAGCUGGUCUGCAGUCUGCAUGACCCAAGAUUCUCUGGGAGUCCAAAUAGAGUAGGGUGACUCUGGCAUGUUGGGCCUGCCCUGCAUGGGCUGUUGCACAGGCAUUGGACGCCACAUACACUCAAAGUAUGUAUGGGCACACUUACAGAAGGCAAGAGACCUGGGCAGAACACACGAAGAGCUGGCAUGCAGACUAUGAGAUUCCAGCAAGGCCUAGGAGUGUCAUGAAAUGGGUGGGUCCUGUGGUUAUUGGCCCCUGUCAGGACUGUAUUGGGGUGCAGACUACAUCAACCAGGGUUCUGUGUCAAAGAGGACGAGAAAUCACGGGAUCUGGGACUCUCACCUCACUGGAUGCUGUGAAACCAACAGAGACCUUGUCUUAUCACACUGGUUCUCAUCCUAUGGAUAGAGACCCACCAGGAACCCUCUGAAUCACAGAUCUUUCCCUGGCGAUUCAGAAGAGUAGCAAAAUUACAAUUACGAGGUCCCAAAAACAAUAAUUUUAUGCUUGUUGGUCACGACGACAGGACCACCUGUCUUAAAGGGUCACAGCAUCAGGAAGGUUGAUACCCAGUGACUUAUGGUUUCAAAGAAGGUGGCAUAGAGUCUGGUCACUCUCCAUGACUGGAAACUGUAAGGGACUAUGCCCACAGCAGGGCUCUCUGUCCUGGGAGAGUGGGGACAAGGGUGGCGGUUGAUAUUCUUGUCACUCAGGAGGCUUUGGUGUUGCACAGGCUAGUGGACCCUCUACGGGGUUCCGAAGUGACAUGGAUGUCAUGGGAGAAUGGAAGGCUACAGGUCGGCCAUCUCCCAGGAUGGUCUGACUGUGAGCAAUAGGAUCCCAGCUGAUUCUGAAUGAUGAAAUGUUGGGGGAAAUUGGGGACUAAGAGCCCCAGCUAAAUGGGCAGGAUCACAAAUCUGUGCAACACCAGCUGGGACAGUGAGUGGUGGACAGGGAAAGGAGGGAGGAUCUGGUUCUCACUCUAUUCUGGAUUGGGGAAAUAGUUGUGGGGCCCAGCAGAGCCUGGGAUGGGGAACUCUAGGAGCAUGACAAGACCCAGGCCUCAAAACUGACUGGCCCGAUGAACAUGGUGUGGUAGCCCUGCAAGGCCCUGCCUUGUGGUGGUGGCCUGCAAAUGUGUGUCUUGGUCUCACCUGAUUGGACUGGCACAUGGAACCUGUGUCCUCAGCUAGGCUGAGCACUGUGUAGUUAGGCAAAGUCCUGUGUAGGACUAGAGCCCAAACCUUGCUGGUCUAGUACAGCACGUGUGCAUACCCAUCUAGACUUGAAGAAUGAGAACAUGGCCUGUGAAGGCAGGUCUGGGCUCCUCACUUUGCUGGAAUGAAUCACAGGCUAUGGCAGAUCAGUGAGGCCUGGGACUAUGGGAUUGCAUGAGAUCAAAGGAGCUUAGGCACUCACAUGUCUCUGCUUGGCUACCUGGGAGGAUGGCCCCAGCUUGGCCUUUGAGCGUGCACCAGUGUGAGGGGACAAUGGUUGUGGGUGAUUAUCUGGGUCACUCAGGAGGCUUUGGUGUUGCACAGGCUGGUGGACCCUACACAGGUAUCCAUAGAGGAUGUGCAUGACAUGGGUGAGUGGAAAGCUGCAGACCACCUCCCAGGAUGGUCUCACUGUGAGCAUUUGGAUGCCAGCUGUUUCUGAAUGAUCAAACUGGGGGAAAUUGAGGACAAAGAGACCCAACUAACUGAUCAGGUCCCCAAAACAAUGCAACACCAGCUGGGCCUCAGAGUGACAGACAGGGCCACGGAGAAUGUAUCUGGGUCCCCCUCUCUUCUGGGCUGGGGAUAUAUAUAUUUGAGGGUCCCAGCUAGGCCUGGGAAGGAGGGAUCACAUGAGCAUGACGGGACCUGGGCCUCAAAGUUUGGUGGCCUGAUGCACAAGUUCUGAUAGCCAAGCAAGGCCCCGCACUUUGGUGGUGGUGGCCUGCAGAUGUGUGUCUUGCUCUCACCUGGAUGGACUAGCACACAGAACCUGUGUCCCCAACUCUUCUAUGCACUGUGCAGUAAGAGGCAUGCAUGUGUGGGACUAGAGCUCUCCCCUUGCUGGUCCAGAGCACGAGGUGUGCAUAUGCAUCUAGACCUGGGAGAAUGGGAUCAUGGCCUGUGAGGGAGCUCUGGUUAUUCACUUUGCAAGAAUGGGCCACAGUGUGUGAAGAACCGGUGAGACCUGGGAUAAUGGGAUUGUAUGAGGAGCUGAGGAGUUCACAUGUCUCAGAUUGUUUACCUGGUAGAUGACCCCAGCUAGGCCUAACCUAAGACCAUAGGUCAAUGAGGGAGGAUAAAGGUCCAGAACACUCAAAAGCUGAGCUGGUGUGCAGUCUGCAUGACCCAAGACUCUCUGGGAGUCCCAAUACAGUAGGGUGACUGUGGCAUGUUGGGUUUGCCCUGCAUGGGCUGUUGCACAGGCAUUGGACGCCACAUAGACACAAAGUAUGUAUGGGCACACUUGCAGAAGGCAAGAGACCUGGGCAGAACUCACAAAGAACUGGCAUGCAGGGUACAAGACUCCAGCAAGGCCUAGGAGUGUCAUGAAAUGGGUGGGUCCUGUGGUUAUUGGCCCCUGUCAGGACUGUAUUGGGGUGCAGACUACAUCAACCAGGGUCCUGUGUCAAAGAGCACGAGAAAUCACGGGAUCUGGGACUCUCGCCUUACUGGAUGCUGUGAAACCAACAGAGACCUUGUCUUAUCACACUGGUUCUCAUCCUGUGGAUAGAGACCAACCAAGGACCCUCUGAAUCACAGAUCUUUCCCUGGCGAUUCAGAAGAGUAGCAAAAUUACAGUUACGAGGUCCAAACAACAAUCAUUUUAUGCUUGUUGGUCACCAUGACAUGACCACCUGUCUUAAAGGGUCAGAGCAUCAGGAAGGUUGGAUACCCAGUGACUUGUGGUUUCAAAGAAGGUGGAAUAGAGUCUGGUCACUCUCAAUGAUUGGAUGGUGUAAGGGACUAUGCCCACAGCAGGGGGCUCUGUACUGGUAGAAUUGGGACAAGUGUGGCAGUUGAUAUUCUUGUCACUCAUGAGGCUUUGGUGUUGCACAGGCUAGUGGACCCUCUACGGGGUUCCGUAGUGACAUGGAUGUCAUGGGUGAGGGGAAGGCUAUAGGUAAGCCAUCUCCCAGGAUGGUCUGACUGUGAGCAAUAGGAUCCCAGCUGAAUCUGAAUGAUGAAAUGUUGGGGGAAAUUGGGGACUAAGAGCCCCAGCUAAAUGGUCAGGAUCACAAAACUGUGCAACACCAGCUGGGGCAGUGAGUGGUGGACAGGGCCAAGGAGGGAGGAUCUGGGUCUCACUCUAUUCUGGAUUGGGGAAAUAGUUGUGGGGCCCAGCAGAGCCUGGGAUGGGGAACUCUAGGAGCAUGACAGGACCCAGGCCUCAAAGCUGACUGGCCCGAUGAACACGGUGUAAUGGCCAGCAAGGCGCUGCCUUGUGGUGGUGGCCUGCAAAUGUGUGUCUUGGUCUCACCUGAUUAGACUGGCACACAGAACCUGUGUCCUCAGCUAGGCUGAGCACUGUGUAGUUAGGCAAAGUCCUGUGUAGGACUAGAGCCCAAACCUUGCUGGUCUAGUACACCACGUGUGCAUACCCAUCUAGACUUGAAGAAUGAGAACAUGGCCUGUGAAGGCAGGUCUGGGCUCCUCACUUUGCUGGAAUGGAUCACAGGCUAUGGCAGAUCAGUGAGGCCUGGGACUAUGGGAUUGCAUGAGAUCAAAGGACCUGAGGCACUCACAUGUCUCUGCUUGGCUACCUGGGGGGAUGGCCCAGCUUGGCCUAUGAGCAUGCAGCAGUGUGAGAGGAUAAAGUUCUAGAACACUCCAUGGUUGGGCUGGUGAGCAGUCUGGAUGAACCCAGCACUUUCUGAGGAUCUGGAUAGAGUAGUAUGACUGCUUCAUGUUAGCCAGUCACCAGGACAGGUUUUUUUUUUUUUACACGGGCAUUUUGAUGCCACAUAUGAAGUAUGAGCAGAGUGUAAGUAGGGAAGGGACCGGACCAGAAUCCAUGAGGUUCUGGCAUGCAGACCACAAGAUGCCAUUAGGCCUAGGAGUGUAGCAAAAUUGGGGAAUGGUGGAGUCACUGGUCCCUCUCUGGACUGUUCGGGAGUGUAGCCUACCUCAAGUAGGCCUCUGUUUCAAAGAGGCCAAGGACUGGGGGGAUGGGGGACACUCACCAGGCUCAGUGCUGUGAAGUCCAACAGAGACCUUGUCUUAUGGCAGCGGUCCUCAACCUGUGGGUAGCGACCCUAACAGAGACCAUCUGAAACAAAGUUAUUCGGGUGACGAUUCAUAACUGUAGCAAAAUUACAGUUAGGACAUCCCAAGCAAGUUUAUUUAUGGUUGGUGGUCAGCACAACCUGAGGAGCUGUAUUAAAAGGUGGCAGCAAGAAGAGUGUGGAAACCCACUGCCUUAUGGUAUUAAGGAAGGUGGGUUAGAGUCUGGCCGGUCUCUGGGAUUGAAAGGUGUAAGGCCAUAAGCCCACAGCAAGGUCUCUGUCCUGGGUGAGUGGGGACAAUGGUGGUGGGUGAUUAUCUGGGUCACUCAGUAGGCUUUGGUGUUGCACAGGCUGGUGGACCCUACAGAGCCAUCAAUAGAAGAUGUGCAUGACAUGGGUGAGUGGAAAACUGCAGACCACCUCCCAGGAUGGUCUGACUGUGAGCACUAGGAUGCCAGCUGAUUCUGAAUGAUCAAAUUGGGGGAAAUUGGGGACAGAGAGACCCAACUAACUAGUAGGUCCCCAAAUCAGUGCAACACCAGCUGGGCCACGGAGUGACAGACAAGGCCACAGAAGGUGUAUCUGGGUCCCCCUCUGUACUGAGCUGGGGAAAUAUAUAAUUGAGGGACCCAGCUAGGCCUGGGAAGGAGGGAUUGCAUGAACAUGACGGGACCCGGGCCUCAAAGCUUGGUGGCCUGAUGCACAAGUUGUGAUAGCUAAGCAAGGCCCCGCAGGUUGGUGGUGGUGGCCUGCAGAUGUGUGUCUUGCUCUCACCUGGAUGGACUGGCACACAGAGCCUGUGUCCCCAACUCUUCUAUGCACUGUGCAGUAAGAGGCAUGCAUGUGUGGGACUAGAGCUCUCCCCUUGCUGGUCCAGAGCACAAGGUGUGCAUAUCCAUCUAGACCUAGGAGAAUGGGAUCAUGGCCUGUGAGGAGCUCUGGUUCCUCACUUUGCGAGAAUGUGCCAAAGUGUGUGGAGAACCGGUGAGGCCUGGGAUAAUGGGAUUGUAUGAGGGGCUGAGAAACUGAGGCUCUCACAGGUCUUGUCUUGUGGAUGAGCACAGCUAGGCCUAACCUAAGAACAUGGGUCAAUGAGGGAGGAUAAAGAUCCAGAACACUCAAAAGCUGAGCUGGUGUGUAGUCUGCAUGACCCGAGACUCUCUGGGAGUCUUUCUGCCCUGCAUGGGCUGUUGCACAGUCAUUGGACGCCACAUACACUCAAAGUAUGUAUGGGCACACUUGCAGAAGGCAAGAGACCUGGGCAGAACCCACGAAGAGCUGGCAUGCAGACUAUGGGAUUCCAGCAAGGCCUAGGAGUGUCAUGAACUAUGUGGGUCCUGUGGUUAUUGGCCCCUGUCUGGACUGUAUUGGGGUGCAGACUACAUCAACCAGGGUUCUGUGUCAAAGACCACGAGAAAUCACGGGAACUGGGACUCUCACCUCACUGGGUGCUGUGAAACCAACAGAGACCUUGUCUUAUCACACUGGUUCUCAUCCUGUGGAUAGAGACCCACCAGGGACCCUCUGAAUCACAGAUCUUUCCCUGGCGAUUCAGAAGAGUAGCAAAAUUACAAUUACAAGAUCCCCAAAACAAUAAUUUUAUGCUUGUUGGUCACCAUGACAGGACCACCUGUCUUAAAGGGUCACAGCAUCAGGAAGGUUGAUACCCAGUGACCUAUGGUUUCAAAGAAGGUGGCAUAGAGUCUGGUCACUCUCCAUGAUUGGAAUGGGUAAGGCGCUAUGAUCACAGCAGAGCUCUCUGUCCCGGGAGAAUGGGGACAAGGGUGGCGGUUGAUAUUCUGGUCACUCAUGAGGCUUUGGUGUUGCACACGCUACCGGACCCUCUACGGGGUUCCGUAGUGGACAUGGAUGUCAUGGGUGAGUGGAAGGCUACAGGUCGGCCAUCUCCCAGGAUGGUCUGACUGUGAGCCAUAGGAUCCCAGCUGAUUCUGAAUGAUGAAAUGUUGGGGGAAAUUGGAGACUAAGAGCCCCAGCUAAUUGGUGAGGUUCACAAAACUGUGCACCAGCUGGGACAGUGAGUGGUGGACAGGGCCAAGGAGGGAGGAUCUGGGUCUCACUCUAUUCUGGAUUGGGGAAAUAGUUGUGGGGCCCAGCAGAGACUGGGAUGGGGAACUCUAGGAGCAUGACAGGACCCAGGCCUCAAAGCUGACUGGCUCAAUGAUCAUGGUGUGGUGGCCCAGCAAGGCCCUGCCUUGUGAUGGUGGCCUGCAAAUGUGUGUCUUGGUCUCACCUGAUUGGACUGGCACACAGAACCUGUGUCCUCAGCUAGGCUGAGCACUGUGUAGUUAGGCAAAGUCCUGUGUAGGACUAAAGCCCAAACCUUGCUGUGUGCAUACCCAUCUAGACUUGAAGAAUGGGAACAUGGCCUGUGAAGGCAGGUCUGGGCUCCUCACUUUGCUGGAAUGGAUCACAGGCUAUGGAAGAUCAGCGAGGCCUGGGACUAUGGAAUUGUAUGGGAGCGGACGAGCUGAGGCACUCACAUGUCUCUUCUUGGCUACCUGGGAGGAUGGCCCCAGCUUGGCCUAUGAGCGUGCACCAGUGUGAGGGGACAAUGGUUGUGGGUGAUUAUCUGGGUCACUCAGGAGGCUUUGGUGUUGCACAGGCUGGUGGACCCUACACAGGUAUCCAUAGAGGAUGUGAAUGACAUGGGUGAGUGGAAAGCUGCAGACCACCUCCCAGGAUGGUCUGACUGUGAGCACUUGGAUGCCAUCUGAUUCUGAAUGAUCAAUUUGGGGGAAAUUGGGAACAAAGAGACCCAAGUAACUGGUCAGGUCCCCAAAACAAUGCAACACCAGCUGGGCCACAGAGUGACGGACAGGGCCACGGAGAGUGUAUCUGGGUCCCCCUCUGUUCUGGGCUGGGGAUAUAUAUACUUGAGGGUCCCAGCUAGGCCUGGGAAGGAGGGAUCACAUGAGCAUGAUGUGACCCAGGCCUCAAAGUUUGGUGGCCUGAUGCACAAGUUGUGAUAGCCAAGCAAGACCCCGCACGUUGGUGGUGGUGGCCUGCAGAUGUGUGUCUUGCUCUCACCUGGAUGGACUGGCACACAGAACCUGUGUCUUCAACUCUUCUAUGCACUGUGCAGUAAGAGGCAUUCAUGUGUGGCACUAGAGCUCCCCGCUUGCUGGUCCAGAGCACAAGGUGUGCAUAUCCUUCUAGACCUGGGAGAAUGGGAUCAUGGCCUAUGAGGGAGCUUUGGUUCCUCACUUUGCGAAAAUGGGCCACAGUCUUUCAAAAUCCACUGAGGCCUGGCAAUGUGUAAUUGUAGUAGGAGCUGAGGAAUGAGGCACUCACAGGUCUCUGCUUGUAAACCUGGAGAAUGGCUCCUACUAUGCGCUUUGAGCAUGUGUUAUUUUGUGAAUAUAUGUUUCUAGAACACUCCAUGUCUACCUGGUGUACAGUCUGGAUGACUUCAGAAGUUUAGUAUUAUUCAGGCAUUUAUAGAUGACCUGGUCUGAUUGUGAGCUCUGGUGUUUCUAGCUGAUUCUGACAGAUCAAAUAUGGGGAUUCAUGAGACAUAAGAUCACCAACUCUCUGGCCAGGUCUGAAAUCUCUGCAAGUCCAGCUCAUCCAGUUAGUGAUGGGCAAGUCCAAAGAUGUUGUCACUCUCUCUUCUUGUUUGGGGAAUUUUUGUGGAUCCUAUCAUAGCCUAUGUAGGGGUGACUUCAUGAGUAUGAAGGGAACUCAUGCUCAUGAAGGGAACCAAGCUUCUAUGUUGGUUUGUUUGAUGCCCAUUUUGUGGCACCUCUCAAUUCCUGAACUGUAGUAAUUGCCUCCAUAUAUCUUUCUUGUUCUCCAUGUUUGACUGGCACACAUGUAUGUCCUCUGUAAGGUGCUCCCUUUUGAAGUUAGGCAGACAUCUGUGGGACUAGAGAUCUCCCCUUGUUGGUCUAGUUCACAAGGUGUGCAUAUCCAUAGACCUGGGAGAAUGGGAACUUGGCCUAUGAUGACAGCUCCAGAUUCUUCCCUUUGCUGGAAUGGAGCACAGGAUGUAGGUACCCAAGUAGGCUGUGAGUGUGGGUUUGCAUGAGGAGUUGAGUAUCUGUUCCACUGACCUCUCUGGGCUGGUAUACCUCAAGCAUGACCUGAGCUAGUCCUCAUAAUAUGAGAAAAUGCCCUCUGAGGUUAUGUCUUCAUUACUCUGUGCUGUGUUGAUCUGAAUCUGUGGGACCUCAGCUAGUGUUGUGAUUGUAGGAUUUCAUGAGAAUUUGGUAUCUGGGGAACUCAGCAUGUUGGGCUGUUGCAUAUGCAUCAUGUUGUUAGCUGUGCCUAAGAAUGUGGAGAUACUUAGUUUUGAUGCAGUCAUGAGACACUCAAUAAAGGUGGGCUGGUUUGUGGCUGCAUGAUCCCAACCUUUUCUGCAAACUUGUAGAAAGCCAAGUUGUGGUGGUUUUUAGUUAGUUACCAGGAUGUGAUGUUGCACAGGUGUGGAGACCCAGACAAGGAGUAUGACCAUCUUGUUGGAAAGCAUGAUACUAGAUCAGUCUCAUUGAUUUGUCUAGUGUGCAGAGUGCAAGAUACCAGUUAAUAAUAGGUGUGUAAGGACUGGGAAGUUUUGCACAAGUCUGUUUCUCAGUCUGCUGUGGUAGCAUGCUGAUUGCUACGUUAUCUUUUCCUGGGAAUAUGAAGUGCAGUGGGCAUACUGGCUUCAGGAGUACUUACCUGGCUCAUCUGGUUGGCAGGCUGUGAGAACCAGAGUAGGCCUGGGAUUUUUAGGCCAAACAGGUAGGUGAACGUCUGGGUCACUCUUCAGGCUAGGCAGGUGUUAGGUAGUGUGUGGCCCAUACUGAGACUUGGUAUAUGUGGCCAGUUGUGGUAGCUGGUUAUUUGGGGUCCAUCACUAGGUCUUUUUUGUUGGUUAGCAUUUGCUUGGUUUCUAUGAAGUUAUUUUUCAAGUAUCUGCCAGGUAGUUUCUAGGCUUUUCCCCGUGAUAUUCCUGUGUAGGAGUAGAAUUUUUCUAGUUGUUCCAGCUUUGUGUUUUUUCAACUAUAAAUUCUUGACCAAUGGAUAUCUUUAAUGUCCAUGUUCUUCCCUGCAUUGUCUGGUCUAACAAUGAAAGACAUAUUUCAGCUGUGUGUCUUUGCUAUCACAAAGUUUCCUUAGACACAAUGAUUACCUGUUUGGUGUUUAAUGGUUCCUAUGCCAUUUCUUUCAUAGACAUUGAUGUUCUGAUCUCCAUGACCUUUUCAUCACUUUUUUACUCUAUUUUUGAAGAAAGAGCUUUCCAUGUAAUGUUUUCCACAUUAGGAGCUGUAUUAAUCUGCAUUUUACUAUUCCAGCUCUUUCUGCUUUGACCAUUAAAAAGUGUUCCAUAUCCAGUUUCUAUCUAGUUGCCUAUGUUCUGGCCAGGAAGUAAAUCUUUAAACUCAACUACUUCCAAAGAGGUCACAUCAUGUAGGUUUCAAAGGAAGUUUAUCAUUUCUGUAACUUCACCAUUAUUAUUUAUUCUAAUCUGGAAGGAAUGUUGUAUUUAUAUGUCUUUCAUAGCUGGAUUUGUUUUAGCCAUGCAGCGGUCUUCAAUAUCUAUGUCUUCUCAAGUUAUAGCUGCCUUCAAGUCAUAAUAUCUACUCUAUAUUCUUGUCUUUCCCAGAUAUACUUCUUUGAUAGCUACCGAAAUCCUCAAUUUCCACAUCUUUCAAAGCCAUAAUUUUUUACUGUUUGGUGAUGAAAAAUGGCUAGCAUUUUCCUAUCUGUGUCAUGAAAUAUAUUCUGCAUGUUACAUUUUCUACCAUAGACAAUAUUAUUAGGAAAUAAGCCUUCUAUCACAUGUCUUUACUAACCACAGAUACUUGGUGCAUUGAAGAAGUUUUUCAUAUCAGUUACUCAAAAUGAGUACCCAUAAAGAGAUAGAAUUCAGUUCUCAGUCUUGCAUAAUCAUUAAAGCUUUUGGUUGCAAAGAGAACAUCUAGUAUGACUUAUUUUCUCAUAAGCGUUUUUAAAAUCAUGUUAUAAUUUCCCAUGCCUAUAUGUUUCUAGCUCACAAAUACUCUGGCAAUAGAGUUCUCUGCAGUCACAUCCUCCCCGUUGCUGCUUUAGUACUGGAACAAGUCAUCUAUCACUAUGUCUUUCCCUAGAUAUAGAUGCUGUUGACAAAAAAGUGAUGCUCAACUUCUAUGUCAUCUCAUUCAGUGCAGGGUUGUAGCUGUGAAAUGCCUUCCAAAUCCACUUCAUCAUGAGCUAAAGUUGCCCAGUAAUGCAAGAAGUUUUCUAUUACCAUAUCUUCCCAAUCCACAUCUACCCUGCUUAAAGAAAUUUUCCUGCUUCUCCUCUUCCAUAGACUCAACAAAGUUGGUCAGAAAAAAAAGUUUCAUCUCUGGCCAAGAAAUAAGUCCUUCACCUUCAUGCUUUUCCCAGGUGCAUCUACUUUGAUCAUGGAAGAAGCCAUUCCUUGCUCAUGCCUUUCAAAGUCUCUCUGCUCUGGUUAUGAGCUUGACCUUUAAAUGAUAUAUGUCAGAGCUUCUUCCAUAAAAAAAAAAAUACCUUCUUGUUUCCCCCAAACUAUAGUUGUCUUUGUUACAGAAUUAUUUUUUCUGCUAUCAUGGCUUCUCAAGUCAUGGCAGCUUUGAUCAUGAAAGCAGACUUUCCACAGAACAUUCCUUGCUAACCCCAUUCCUGUCAAGAUAUAUCUGUUUUUGUCACAUUCUAGUUUGGGUUUCCUCAAUUUCUGCAUCCAUAACUACUUUGUCAAGUAAACAAUGUGGCUAAAGCUAGGAUUUCUCCUUCUACAUUUGCUGUUAAUGUGAAUGAAAUCUGUCUUGGUGACCACAGGAAGUUUCCUCUGUGUCCAUUUCUGCUCUGACCACUGAAGUCUUUCUGCUUGUGUAUGGCCAUAGCAACUCUUGUGUGUUUGUACUGAGAUAUUAUCUCAUCAGUCAGGAUGAUCUUGAACUCACUAUUUUCCUACAGUGCUAGCUAUCAACUCUUUGAUAUGUGUAUCUGAGCUUUACAACAUCCACAUAGUAAACACAUCUCUACAGCAAGAUGAAUUAAUAGGUGUAUUAUCUUAUAUACCUGCUUUUUCUGACAAAAGCAGCUAAAAUCCACUUAUUUAAUAAAAACCCCAAAUACAAUAUGGUCUUAUUAACUAUAGUACUCAUGCUGCCAUACAUUAAGUCUUUAUAUUUGCUUCUCCUACACAUCUGCUACUUCAGGAUUCCUUUAGAACAGUUGUCUCCACUUCAGCACAGUGAAGGUUCCCUUGCAGAGCAAGUGCAAGUCCAUCCUGCUACCUCCUACAUUACUAGUUUCACUCAAGUCUUGACAGUAUAUAGAGAAACAUAUAAAGAAUAUGCUAAUUGGUACAAAGUUCCAGGCAAGGACAGCCAAGUAGAUGAGCCCAGUUUGUUCUCUUCUGUACAGUUUUGCAUUCCUAUCUAUGCCUAUUUCUAUGGAUGUAUUCCAUUUUCAUGCUGUAUGUUUGAGGUUUUUACUCUGUAUCCUGUAUCUGUAUCCAACUUGAGAAAGAGACUGCAAGUGUAGCAUGGAGAACACACUGUACUUAUGGUAAGACAAUGGACAAUUCAGGAACUAUUCUCUCAAAGGUGAAGAGAUCUCAGAAGCAAUCAUCUAAACCAUCAGGAAUUCAUUAGAGUACAGUGAGGCUUUCUAUGGGCAAAUCCAAUGCCUACCUAGGAGAGAGGAUCUGGGGAUGUCUGACUGUCUCAACUCGGCCCUUUCAUCAGACCAAACAUACCAAGAAAACUUAGCUUUGUAACUUGUAAAAAGUCACCUAUGGGUGAAAUACUCUUUUCAUAUGAAUACUCUGAGUACUGGGCUUGGUAGUAUACUCAUGUAAUCCUAGCAUUAAAAAGACCAAAGCAAUAGGAUUACAGCUCAGUCUGGGUUGUAUAAGAACCUGUCUAAAAAUGGCUAAUGCAUAUUACUUUUACUCAUACUCGCUCUUCUUUCUUUGGAAUAUCCCUGGGUCUCUGAACUCCAUUUGGCUCAACAUCCUGUCUUCUUAUACUCAACUGAGGAACACCUUUGGACAUUUGUAUCUGGAUUUCCUUCAGGCUUGGUGUUUGGUAUUUCUUAUGUAGACCUCCACACCAUAAUUACAGGUGUUUUUAACCAGAAAUGCGACCCAUUAGCUCUGUCAAGAGGAACAGCUAGUCAACAUGCCACCACAUUCCAAAAACUUGCCUAGGAACUGGCCACAAGCUGAAGUCCCAAGAUCAUCUGGACAUGAAGAAUCACUUCUUCAUAUUUCCAUAAAUGCUAGUUUGGCUGUGCUUGUAAUCCAUGGUACUUGGGAGACUAAGGUGGGAGAAUUACUUGAGUCAAAGAACUGAGUUGACCAUCCUGAACAACAUAGUAUGACCCCAUCUCAAAUCAAAACCAACCAAACACCAGAAAAGAAAUUCAUAGACUUUUUAGUGAACUUGCUGAGGAAAAGGAUUGUAUUGCUAAAUGUUAAGGGAUAAUGUUAUUAAUAUUUUAUAUUGAUGGUAUUUUAUUAUUUAAGCCACAAAAAUACUCAUUCUGAAUAAUACACAUUCUUGAGUGAACUUUUGGAGUGGGUGAGAUACUUAUAUGUACACAUGUGAUGAGACAGUAUUUGUGGCGUUUUAGGCUGAUCUUGUUCAUAGUAUACUGACGGUGCAUUGUAUAUCUUUUUCAUUAAGUUGUAUAAGAUUGGUGGAUUGGAAUUUACAAGUAAGAUGGUGGAUUAAAAGCUCCAUCUGAGUCAGUGGAUAAAAAUGUUAUGAUAAAAACAUAAUAGAUCCAAUUUAUAUACAAGAAAGACUAAAAAAAUAAAAAGCCAAAGUCUGAAUUUCUCUACAAUGAAGGAGCCAGGUCCACCAGAAAUCAGUUGUGGUACCUACUCCCACUGACUGACAUAAGCUGCCAGCCAUGUGUUCUCCUAGGUGACACCAUGAAAGCCCAGGAGAAAAGGCCUGCGCUGUGUAAACACAACUGGAUGGAUAAAAAUUCCAUAUAUAGAACAAGUUGUGAGUAGUAGAAAUGUGGUUUGAAAACCUCAAGAUCACUACACAUUAAUAAAGGGAUAAUUCAUCAAGAAGAUUAGAAUAUUAUUAACAUUUAUACACCAAAUAUCAGGUACAAUCAGCAGGAAAUUUCAAAACUCUCAUCUUUAGACACAUAUUUCAAACUAAAAAUCAACAAAGAAACAGUUUAAGUAAAUAACACCAUAGAGCAAUUGCAUUUAACAGAUACUUACAAAGUAUUCUAUCCAACUAAUAGGGAAUGCACAUUAUUCUCAGCAGCACAUAGGGCUCACUUUAAAACUAUACACAUUAUAGGAUACAAAGCAAAAAUCGAAUUACUUAUAUUUUAUCAGACAAUAGCAGAAUAAAAGCAGCUACACAAGUACUUAGUACUGAGCAAUACAUUUUUGAAUGAACAAUGGAUCACUGAGGAAAUCGAGGAAAGUUUUUGAAAUCCUAAAAACAAAGGAAAAUUAUGAUAUAACCUACUAAAACUUAUGGGAUUUAAAAAGACAUUCAUAAGAGGAAGGAUUAUAGCUCUAAGUGCUUACAUUUGAAAAAAAUCAAUGAGAUCACAAAUAAAUAACCUAAUUAUAUACCUCAAGGUUCUAGAAAAACAAGAAGUCAAACUCAGAUGAUAUGAAUGUCAAGAAGUAGACACUAGGAAUAUACAGAGUCAAUCAAACAGAAAGUUAUUUGAAAAGCCAAAGAUCAAAGAUCUAAAGAAAAAUAGAUAAUAUCUAAAUAAGAAAAAUUAGAGGUGAAAAAUAAGCUCUUACUGCAGACUCUAAUAAAAUCCAGAGGGAUAUUAGGGAAUACUUUGAAACCUCAUCCUAAAAAGCUAGAAAACUGGGGCUGGAUAUGUAGCUCAAUGGAAAAGUGCUUGUCUGGCAUGUUCAAAGUCCUAGAUUUGAUUCCUAGCACUGUCAAAACCAAAAUGUUAGAAAACUUAAAAGAAAUGGAUAUAUUCUUUUUUUAAAAAUUCUACAGAGAUUUAUUUUAAAACAAUUUUUCAGUAUGCAUGCAACUUUACCAUUUACUAAAGAUGAAAGGAAAUCUGCAAACUAAUGAGAUAGACAUGCUUGUUUAUUUUUAUAUAAGGAAUUAAAUCUUGAGGCAGGUGUGGCACACCCAGUACUUGGGAGGUAGAGGCAAGAGGAUCAAGAGUUCAAGGCCAGCCUCAACUACAGAGCAAGUGUGAAGCUGGCCUGGGCUACAGGAGACAUUGUCUCAACUUCUCCCACAUGCCCCUAAAGGGUACUAAAUCUGAGCUGACUGUUUGGUAUCACACAAUGUCCAAUGUUUUUCAGAGUUGAUCGAUGUUUAAAAUGCCUAUCUGUCAAUGCUAAGAAUGCUGUUUUACAGAUAGUACAAAAUGGCAGAAACAUGUUUAUGGCCAUUUCAGACACUGUUGGAAAUUCUAUCUUAACCUCAAGCCAAAAAAUUCAUUUAAUGGUUUCUUUUUAAAAUGAAACUCAAGCUACCAACUCAAACAGCAAUUUUCAAAAGAAAUGGACAUAUUCUUAACCCAUGUGAGCUGCCAACAUGAAUUCAAGGAGAUACAAAUAACUAUAAGAGAUGCAAAAUAAGCAAUGAUAUUGAAGUUUUCCUACAUAGAAAAGUCAAGGGCUGGAUGGAUUCACUAUUGAAUCCUAACAAAUAUUUAAGGAAGUCUAGCAUCAGCACUUCUUAAAUAUUUUCAUAAAAAAGAAAUGGAGAGGACACCAUUAAACUUAUUCCGUGAAGCUGUUACUAUCGUGAUACCACAUUUCCCUGGUGAACAGAUAUACAAAUUCUCAAAAUACUUAUUUUGGUAAUUACCAGGGUCAUUGUCUUAGUCAGUGUUCUUUGGCUGUGAAGAGACACCAUGACCGUAGCAACUCUUCUAAAUGCAAGCACUUAACUGGGGCUUCCUUACAGUUUCAGAAGUUUAGUCCAGAAUCAUCAUGGCAAGAAGCAUGUGGCAUGGCAGCAUGCAGGCAGACAUGGUGCUGAAGAGGAGCUGAGAGUUCUACAUCUAGAUCUGAAAGCAGCAGGAAGAGAGAGAGAGCCACUGAAAACCCAAAGCCCACCCCCCAGUGACAGGCUUCUUCCAACAAGGCCACACCUACUCCAACAAAGCCAUAUGUCCUAGUCUCCCUCAAGUAGUACCACUCCCUAAUGACCAAGCAUUCAAAUGUAUGAAUGAGCCUGUGGGGGCCAUUCUUAUUCAAACCACUGCAGUCAAGGUGAUGGAGAAAAGGACUUUUGUUGUUUUUGUCAUUCUCUUCCUCCUCAUUCUUCUCAUUAUUUUUACUUGGUUUUUAUAAUAUAGAAUAGAGGUCUACUUUUGCAACAUGAAAUUCUAUAGACCCAUUUUCCUGUAAUGUGAAUAUAGUUAACAUUGCUGUUAUGCAUUUUAAAGUGUUAAAUAUGAUUUAUACACAUGUUAAAUUUGUUACUGACCCUAAAAUUGAAGUGAUUGGAAAAAAUGGAUUAAAAAUCAAACUCCA
Peromyscus californicus insignis is the source of this 33784-nucleotide long non-coding RNA. RefSeq lists it as uncharacterized. The record is from RefSeq and is a predicted model, not a curated record. NCBI's taxonomy places the organism in Eukaryota, Metazoa, Chordata, Mammalia, Rodentia, Cricetidae. The transcript has 6 exons.